UAAUCGGCCCUUUUCAGGGCCACUAUAUCAUUCAAACGUUAUGAA
Trichomalopsis sarcophagae is the source of this 45-nucleotide non-coding RNA. The record is from Rfam. Lineage: Eukaryota; Metazoa; Arthropoda; Insecta; Hymenoptera; Pteromalidae.